RNAcentral lists this transfer RNA (73 nucleotides) under Liberibacter crescens BT-1. It matches the Rfam family "tRNA". From Rfam's summary of the family: Transfer RNA (tRNA) molecules are approximately 80 nucleotides in length. Their secondary structure includes four short double-helical elements and three loops (D, anti-codon, and T loops). Lineage: Bacteria; Pseudomonadati; Pseudomonadota; Alphaproteobacteria; Hyphomicrobiales; Rhizobiaceae. The record is from Rfam by way of RNAcentral.
AGGGGUAUAGCUCAGUUGGUAGAGCGGCGGUCUCCAAAACCGCAGGCCGGGGGUUCAAGUCCCUCUGCCCCUG